GACAGUUUGGUCCCUAUCUUUCGUGGGCGUAGGAUAUUUGAGAGGAUCUGUUCCUAGUACGAGAGGACCGGAAUGGACGAACCAAUGGUGUUCCAGUUGUCGCGCCAGCGGCAUUGCUGGGUAGCUAAGUUCGGAAUGGAUAACCGCUGAAAGCAUCUAAGCGGGAAGCCAACCUCGAGAUUAGAUAUCCCUCUGUAUGGAAACAUACAGACUGAAGACCCCUUGAAGACUACAAGGUUGAUAGGCCAGGUGUGUAAGCAUAGCAAUAUGUUUAGCUUACUGGUACUAAUAGGUCGUGAGGCUUAGUCAC
Molecule: ribosomal RNA, 310 nt
Filed under: Pseudomonadota bacterium
Lineage: Bacteria; Pseudomonadati; Pseudomonadota
Description: Proteobacteria bacterium (groundwater metagenome) partial 23S ribosomal RNA
Rfam family: Bacterial large subunit ribosomal RNA
Source: RNAcentral